This 462-nucleotide ribosomal RNA is filed under the name uncultured bacterium. RNAcentral describes it as "partial 16S ribosomal RNA". It matches the Rfam family "Bacterial small subunit ribosomal RNA", at positions 28 to 507 of the family's 1533-position model. The record is from RNAcentral.
GACGAACGCUGGCGGCGUGCUUAACACAUGCCAGUCGAACGGAAAGGCCCUUCGGGGUCCUCGAGUGGCGAACGGGUGAGUAACACGUGGGUGAUCUGCCCUGCACUUUGGGAUAAGCCUGGGAAACUGGGUCUAAUACCGAAUAGGACCGCGCGCUUCAUGGUGUGUGGUGGAAAGCUUUUGCGGUGUGGGAUGGGCCCGCGGCCUAUCAGCUUGUUGGUGGGGUAAUGGCCUACCAAGGCGACGACGGGUAGCCGGCCUGAGAGGGUGACCGGCCACACUGGGACUGAGAUACGGCCCAGACUCCUACGGGAGGCAGCAGUGGGGAAUAUUGCACAAUGGGCGCAAGCCUGAUGCAGCGACGCCGCGUGAGGGAUGACGGCCUUCGGGUUGUAAACCUCUUUCACCAGGGACGAAGCGCAAGUGACGGUACCUGGAGAAGAAGCACCGGCCAACUACGUG